Long non-coding RNA from Hibiscus syriacus, 693 nucleotides. RefSeq lists it as uncharacterized. The transcript has 3 exons. The record is from RefSeq and is a predicted model, not a curated record. Lineage: Eukaryota; Viridiplantae; Streptophyta; Magnoliopsida; Malvales; Malvaceae.
UGCUCCUCUAUAUUUCCUCAUGUCAAACUAAGAAAAAUAAAAUUCUCUCAACAUCCAACCCUAGCUGCCGAUGCUUUUAAGCCCUCGCCGCUGUGCUACGGUGACUUUACUGGCGAUACUUUGUAUCAAAAUAACCCACAACGCGUUCUCUUCUCUUCCAUCCGAACGAAUCUUCCGAAACAUGAAUAAGAACAAGCAAAACUAGAUUGGAGCAUUAGUCUCUUCACUUGUUGGAUCCACGUUGUUCAUCGUCGGAUAGGAUUGAAAUCACGCAUUGUUCCUCUUUUUGACUUAGGCUCCUUAUCUACCAUUUCAAUUCACCGGCGAAUGCUCCAACCGUCACCAACUUAAGAACCCGAUAAGGGUGAUUGAAUUCAAAUCUUCUGGCUCUAGAUUUUCUAUAUGGGGAAAUUCGUGGGUUUUUGUUUCUGUUUGAAUUGCCAGGUGGUAAUGAGGGUUUUUGUUUACUUUGUGCUCUUCGUCAUCACAUUGAACUUUCAUUGUAUUCAUCAAGAGUUGUAUCGCCUCACAAAAGAUUUUACAAAUUGAACAGCAUUGUAUCAUUUUCCAGAGAUAUCAACUGGAAGAUGCUCAUGAGUUCCUGCAAUGCAUGUUACAUAGGCUUGAAAGCUGUUGACUAAAGACCAAGAAUGAUUUGCCCUCUGUUGGUGAUUGCCUCGUUAAGAAGGUUUA